RNAcentral lists this ribosomal RNA (433 nucleotides) under uncultured bacterium. Its description in RNAcentral is "partial 16S ribosomal RNA". It matches the Rfam family "Bacterial small subunit ribosomal RNA", at positions 29 to 507 of the family's 1533-position model. The record is from RNAcentral.
AACGAACGCUGGCGGCAUGCCUAACACAUGCAAGUCGAACGAGACCUUCGGGUCUAGUGGCGCACGGGUGCGUAACGCGUGGGAACCUGCCCUUAGGUUCGGAAUAACUCCCCGAAAGGGGUGCUAAUACCGGAUAAUGUCUUCGGACCAAAGAUUUAUCGCCUUUGGAUGGGCCCGCGUUGGAUUAGCUAGUUGGUAGGGUAAAAGCCUACCAAGGCGACGAUCCAUAGCUGGUCUGAGAGGAUGAUCAGCCACACUGGGACUGAGACACAGCCCAGACUCCUACGGGAGGCAGCAGUGGGGAAUAUUGGACAAUGGGCGAAAGCCUGAUCAAGCAAUGCCGCGUGAGUGAUGAAGGCCUUAGGGUUGUAAAGCUCUUUUACCCGGGAUGAUAAUGACAGUACCGGGAGAAUAAGCUCCGGCUAACUCCGUG